Thalassophryne amazonica is the source of this 5267-nucleotide RNA transcript. It is a transcript of the gene named zinc finger DHHC-type palmitoyltransferase 5b, with no coding region annotated. The record is from RefSeq and is a predicted model, not a curated record. The transcript is spliced from 12 exons. Lineage: Eukaryota; Metazoa; Chordata; Actinopteri; Batrachoidiformes; Batrachoididae.
GAGGAACGAUCGCCGACGGAGCACUUCCGGGAAUCAGUUGUUGGCCUUGCUAGUUUGUUAGCCGCUAUCUUAAGCAGGAACGAAAGCGCUCCCGCACAACUUAGACCGAGACACGCAUGUUCGACAUUAGGGACAUUCUACAUUUGAUCUACAGAAACUGCAGGAACGAUAACCAAGAGGACAACAAAGGACAUGUGUGUUUUACUUGACAGCACUGUGCGUGGCUUUGCUUGAGAGAUGCAGAAUGGGAAAGGAGCUCUAUCUGCAGAGAAUUUGGAGGUGGAAGAGGUGUCUGCAUCCUGGCCUGGCCAAGUGUGGUGACACAUUGGUGACAUACAUGGGACUUAUUUUUGGAAUGAGCUGAUUCUGUACCCAUAUUGAUGUAAAGACUGAAGCAGGGGAUCACAACAUUAUAGGGGAGAUUUACUUGGCUAACUAAACUUUUUGUGCAAAAGGUUAGCCUUAAUACUUCUUGUGUAGCGGCAACAUUUUUUUAAAGUAAAUUCUGGCAGGAAUUUUGUUUCAUGAGCUGCUUUUAGCCACUGGUGUAAAAGUGAUUUUGUGAUUUUUGUUUGUUUCGGUGUUCUCCCCUGCUGACUGUAUUUGAAACGCUGGAACAGUUCUUGUUGCAAUCCUAAGUCUCUUGCACCCAGUGCCUAAACAAGCCCUCUUGGGACAAUCAUAGAAGUCAUCUAUCUGCUGCCGCUGUCUUCAAUCCUUUUCCUGUUCAACUCUAGUGCUUCUGGUCUUGAUAGUUAUCUAGCCACUACCUCUUUUUUUUCUCUUUUUUUCAUUUAAUGGUCAUUUUGUCAGAGACCUUUAUUCUGAACUGACACACACAGAGUUUGAAAAGUAAAAGAAACUUUAGUUUGAAAUGAUUUUAGCCAUUUGCAUCUGUACUUUUGCAGAUUUGCAAAUUAUGUAAAAGUUGCACUGGUGCCACAUAGUAGUUUAAGUUUAGUUUAAUUUUUGCACCAAAUAUUUACAUUAAAGCCAUGUUGAAAUAUUUACAAAUUUCACACAAUCACUUAUUUUUGUAUCAUAGUGUUCUUGCAUCAUUUUACUUUAGGGCUUCUAUUAAAAUUAUGCACAAGUGAUCAGAUAUUUACACCAAUCUGUACACAUGAAAGUAGAGCUGUAUUUAAAAAGUUUAUAGAUACAUAUAUUUUUUUCAGUGACUAUAUGAGCAUUGUGAGAUAAACAGUAUAUACAAAGAGAAUCCACCAUUCUCUGAUCUACGGCAGUUGCUGCUUUGUGUAGAAUUGAUUUUUCUUUUUCAGACUGCUGCCAUGGACUCUCCUCUCAAACAAAGGCCAUAUUCACCUUUUUGACUUGGACAGCACAUUUGCAGUAGGUAGAGUGUAGAUUUCUACCUCUCUGUCUUCCUUCCAUCUCGCACUCUGAUGCCGGGCUUCAGUGGUGGGGGGGUUGGGGGAGGAGCGGGUGGCCCAGCUUCUGCUCCUCCCCGCGCAUUUCGUCCCAACCGUUAUGUGCCUGUUGCUGCAGCCACAACUUUCCUUGUUGGAUCAACCACCCUCUUCUUCUGCUUCACGUGUCCAUGGUUGUCAGAGUAUUUAUCGUCUGUCAUUCCCAUCUACAUUACUGUGAUCUUUCUCUUCACCCUUGCCAACUUUUGUAUGGCCACGUUCAUGGACCCAGGAGUCUUCCCCAGAGCGGAGGAGGAUGAGGAUAAAGAGGAUGAUUUCCGUGCUCCUCUUUAUAAGACUGUGGAGAUCAAAGGCAUCCAGGUGCGCAUGAAAUGGUGCUCAACCUGCCGCUUCUACCGGCCACCGCGCUGUUCACACUGCUCAGUCUGCGACAACUGUGUGGAGGAUUUUGACCACCAUUGUCCUUGGGUGAACAACUGCAUUGGACGGAGAAAUUAUCGCUAUUUCUUCCUCUUCCUGCUGUCGCUCACCACCCACAUUGUGAAUGUGUUUGGCUUUGGCUUGGUUUAUGUACUGCACCACCGCCAACAGCUGGACACCCCACAUUCUGCUGUUACUAUGGCUGUGAUGUGUGUAGCUGGUCUGUUCUUUGUCCCAGUAGCUGGUCUAACUGGGUUCCACAUUGUACUGGUGGCCCGCGGAAGGACCACAAAUGAACAGGUGACAGGGAAGUUUCGGGGUGGCGUUAACCCUUUCACCAACGGCUGCUGGAGGAAUAUUACACGUGUGCUGUGUAGCUCACAGGCACCUAGAUACAUGGGCCGGUGGCGGAGACCGCAGGCAAUGGAAGUACAGCCACCGUUUCUUAGGCCGCCUCUCACCGAGUCACAACUCGAAGCCAAAGUCCUGGACAACGGCAUCCAGAAUGACCGACACAGCAUCAGAUCAAAGAGCAGUUUAGAUCAGAUGGAGAGCCAGUCAGCAGAUGCAGAGCCUCCACCUCCCCCUAAACUGGAACUUCGCUACCCUGGCUUUCCUCGUGCUGACACGGAGGAGAGCGGCUUGUUGACUGAAGCUCCUCCCACUCCAUCAAUGUACAAGUAUCGACCGACCUACAGCAGUCCAGGAAGGAAUCACACUGGCGUCGCACAUCCUAACAAGGUGCAUAUGAUCCGCGGAGAGAGCCUUGACUCUCCAUCACCCUCCAUUCUCCAGUCCAGCCGACAGCAUAGCUACCGCUCCGAGCCCAGCAGCCUGGAUGGGGCUACCAUGGUGGGGGGAGGUGUAGGGGUGCGCAGAGGGGGAGGGGAGAGGGGUGAGGGCCCUGGAGGCCCUGGUGGGACUGCUGGUUUACUCUCGGGGGGCAUGUCGGGAUAUUCCCUAUCUGGGCGCUCCUAUACCUCCUACCCCUCCUCCCUGGUUCUGUCCACUGGUGGGUCCCACUCCUCCAGCAUGCGCUCUGCGCACACAGCACAUAACCCGCUGGCCACGCUUCAAUCAGAAGGCACAACAGACACCAGUUACAAAAGCCUAGCCAAUCAGACCCCUCAAAACGGCAGCCUGUCUUACGACAGUCUGUUGACGCCAUCUGAGAGCCCAGACUUUGAGUCAGCCACUCAUGAGCUGUCGCCACAGAAGCCUCGCGUUCCGUUUCCCUCAGGGACGGCAUUGCCUCUGAGAGGUCAGCCUGAGGCGCUCUCGCCCACUGCCCCCCUGCAGGGCUACACGUCACCCUUCCUCUCAGCUCAAAUCGCUCAGCAGAGGGAGGGGAAGCUGCUUCAGGGCUCUACCACUUUCUCCUCCCCCCAUAGGGCAUACCUGCGUGCGGUCAGUCCACCUUCCUCCCCCCCUGGGCUUCCUGAGACUCAUCACUUGUUCCAGCAAAAGCAGGACUCUUCUUCCCGAGCCCCUCGUGCCCUUUCCUCAUCAUCCUGUUCCCCCAGGGCUCAUUUACCAGAGCCCCCUGUCUCCCCGCCACCUCGUGGCCUCUCGCUCGGGAAAUUCCAAACUUUGACCGGGGAGGCAGGGUCCCAGCACAAGCUUCGAGCCACAGGGGUUGGUACUGUGCUGGGAGGGGGAGAAGCUGGAGGAGGGCAACAGGCUCCACAGUGAGUAGUGAUCGGUCUCCAGGUCCGUCAGCCUGCUCCUUCUUCUUUUCCUGUUAAUCCUCCUCUUCCUGAUUUGUAUCCAACGCUCGCCCCAUCUUCGCCAAUAACAGUACAUCCAAACCAGGGGGCGGUGUGAAGAAGGUGACAGGUGUUGGAGGGACCACUUAUGAGAUAUCUGUUUGAGUGUGUCAGACAACCUUCAUGGACUUUGACUGGGAAAGUUAAUGAUGAAAUCACUGGAGGACUUCCACUUGUCUCCUAAGCUGGUAAUCAUUCAUGUCUCUGUGCUCCUGGACGAUGACUUCUCUGAUGACUCCUCUGCUGCACCAAACCGUUGGAACAGGACUGUCUGGUACUCACUUUAUCAUCAUGAUUCAAUUGGUCAUUCUUCUGCCAGCCUUUUAAGUCUCAAAGACUAACUGGGGACACUGGUUCACUGUUUCACAGGAUCAUUUUUUUUUUUUAUCUCCAUUUACCUACUUUUGGAAGCCAUAGGCCGACAACAGCCGGGUACAGAAAUGUUUAUAGUGUGCGUAAUGGUUUGCUGUUUGACUUUGGUAUAUGAGCACACACGGUAUUGACAGUGGUGUCCAGCGGUUAAAGAAUGGACGGCAUUUUAUCCAGUGGGCGUGAUGCUUCAAACGUUCCAGGACUGUUGAUCAGUGGAGAAAUGUCACUCUUCUGCUUGUACCAUAGAGACUGUAUCAGUUAAGAGAAUGGGGAACUGUCACAGACACAGUAUCAUUUUACUUUUAUAAACAUUUUUUUAAAUAUUGUUUUAUAUAAAUGUAUAAGAUCUUACAGAUUUGGUCAAACUGUCAGGUAUUGUAGGUGACCUUGGGUAAGGGUGGCAGAUGUACUGUGUAUAUUUUUCAUGGAACUUAUUCCAAGUCAGUUGCUUGUUUAUAAUUGAUGGCUGCAUCAGCCACUCUCAAGCUCUCACUGGGAUCAGCGUCCAGGGAGAGUGAUGACUCUUCGGGUGUGGGAGGUGGUGGAAGAAUUGAGCUAAAGUGUGAAAGCCACAAAGAAUUAAAAAAAAAAACAUGGUUACAACACAAGCAUCUUUGUGGAAUGAACGCUUUUAAUGCUUAAGCUCGACAUUAUGCAAAAUCUGUUCAUAGCUUUAAGCUCAUUGGAUAUCAUUUUGAUUAUUUCGUUUUUCUUUUAUAUUUUGUCAGUCUAGAAGCUAGCAGCACCUUUAACGGAUGGCCAGCCAAAAAAGAAAAAACAAGGGGGGUGGGGGGCAGCAACAGAAGGGCUUAUUUAUUUCCAGCAGACAACACAACCUUGUAGUUCUGGACAUAUCAAAGCAGUCUGUACCAGUCACUCCAUUAAAAUAUGGUCAGGCUUAAUUUCGAGAACAAGCAGAUGGAUAUUUUUUGAGAAAUACUCACAAAUGAAAGUUCAGAUGCUGUAUCAUACCACUAAACAUAUAUUUAAUUAGAGAGUGGUUUACAAACAGAUUGGUUUUUGCCUUGAGACGGUUAUAUUUUUUGUUAAUUCUAAUGAAUUACUUAAAGAAUUUCAUAGGCACACUUUUUAAAAUAUAUAUACAUAUAUAAAUAUGUCUUUAAAGGUAUAGUUGACAUUCACAGCCAUGUUGCGAAAGAAACUGUUCAGAGAAAGGGAGGUGUGUAUGCGUGUGUUAUAAGGAUUGGGGAUUACCCCAAAUCUCCACAGCAAUUUCAAGAAUAGAUUGUUAAAGAUGGCUGAAUGUAGUGCACGUUAGGGUAAAAAAAAUACAAUAAAAAGUGCAUAGCACACCAAUGAA